GCAAGGUGCUGACGAGUGGCGAACGGGUGAGUAAUGCAUCGGAACGUGCCCAGUCGUGGGGGAUAACUGCUCGAAAGAGCAGCUAAUACCGCAUACGACCUGAGGGUGAAAGCGGGGGACCGAAAGGCCUCGCGCGAUUGGAGCGGCCGAUGUCAGAUUAGCUAGUUGGUGGGGUAAAGGCCUACCAAGGCGACGAUCUGUAGUUGGUCUGAGAGGACGACCAGCCACACUGGGACUGAGACACGGCCCAGACUCCUACGGGAGGCAGCAGUGGGGAAUUUUGGACAAUGGGGGCAACCCUGAUCCAGCAAUGCCGCGUGCAGGAAGAAGGCCUUCGGGUUGUAAA
This 346-nucleotide ribosomal RNA is filed under the name beta proteobacterium '13.5 MW-6'. RNAcentral describes it as "bacterial SSU rRNA". It matches the Rfam family "Bacterial small subunit ribosomal RNA", at positions 79 to 429 of the family's 1533-position model. The record is from RNAcentral. Lineage: Bacteria; Pseudomonadati; Pseudomonadota; Betaproteobacteria.